GUCCGCCAAGGGAUGGAGUUUUCCCUCCACAGCAAUGCCACCCACUCAUCCAUAACCGGCAUUCAAGCCAGACCCGCUUCUGCCGAUAACUUCUGCAUGCAACGUGUAGUUCUGGUGAUCGAUGACGACGAAAAGACGCGCGAACUGGUGACGGACAUCCUCGAGGCAUUCGAUUUCAAAGUUAUUCCGGCAGAGAAUUCCGAAGAAGGGUUGACCCUGGCCCUCAUCGAUCGGCCCGAUGUGGUCCUGUGCGAUGUCAUGUUGCCGGACUCGCUCGGCUUCGAGACGGCGAAGGCACUGAGCCAGCAUCCAUCCACGAGCACCGUGCCCAUCGUCCUCAUGA
This 343-nucleotide unclassified non-coding RNA is filed under the name uncultured bacterium. Its description in RNAcentral is "contains 16S-23S intergenic spacer region". The record is from RNAcentral.